This 76-nucleotide transfer RNA is filed under the name Deltaproteobacteria bacterium. Its description in RNAcentral is "tRNA-Gly". It matches the Rfam family "tRNA". From Rfam's summary of the family: Transfer RNA (tRNA) molecules are approximately 80 nucleotides in length. Their secondary structure includes four short double-helical elements and three loops (D, anti-codon, and T loops). Lineage: Bacteria; Pseudomonadati; Myxococcota; Myxococcia. The record is from RNAcentral.
GCGGGAAUAGCUCAAUUGGUAGAGCACCAGCCUUCCAAGCUGGUCGUCGCGGGUUCAAUCCCCGUUUCCCGCUCCA